Molecule: ribosomal RNA, 502 nt
Filed under: uncultured Oscillospiraceae bacterium
Lineage: Bacteria; Bacillati; Bacillota; Clostridia; Eubacteriales; Oscillospiraceae
Description: partial 16S ribosomal RNA
Source: RNAcentral
CACGUAGUUAGCCGGAGCUUCCUCCUCUGCUACCGUCAUCAUCUUCACAGAGGACAGAGGUUUACAAUCCGAAGACCGUCUUCCCUCACGCGGCGUUGCUGGUUCAGGGUUUCCCCCAUUGACCAAUAUCCCUUACUGCUGCCUCCCGUAGGAGUCUGGGCCGUGUCUCAGUCCCAAUGUGGCCGUCCAACCUCUCAGUCCGGCUACCGAUCGUCGGCUUGGUGGGCCGUUACCCCACCAACUGCCUAAUCGGACGCGAGCCCAUCUUUCAGCGGAUUGCUCCUUUGAUUAUCCUACCAUGCGAUAAGAUAAUGUCAUGCGGUAUUAGCGUUCGUUUCCAAACGUUAUCCCCCUCUGAAAGGCAGGUUGCUCACGCGUUACUCACCCGUCCGCCACUAAGAUAUCCAAGAUUCAUUACCGAAGUACUUCAUCAGCGAAUAUCUCCGUUGACUUGCAUGUAUUAGGCACGCCGCAGCGUUCGUCUCGUGCCAGACGUCAAACU